RNAcentral lists this small nuclear RNA (116 nucleotides) under Choloepus hoffmanni (Hoffmann's two-fingered sloth). Its description in RNAcentral is "U5 spliceosomal RNA (ENSCHOG00000015221.1)". It matches the Rfam family "U5 spliceosomal RNA". Rfam says of the family: U5 RNA is a component of both types of known spliceosome. The precise function of this molecule is unknown, though it is known that the 5' loop is required for splice site selection and p220 binding, and that both the 3' stem-loop and the Sm site are important for Sm protein binding and cap methylation. The record is from RNAcentral. Lineage: Eukaryota; Metazoa; Chordata; Mammalia; Pilosa; Megalonychidae.
AUACUCUGGUUUCUCUUCAGAUUGUAUAAACUUUACACUUUUUACUAAAGAUUUCCAUGGAGAGAAACAAUUCUGAGUUUAUACCAAAUUUUUUGAGACUCUGCAUCAAAGGACUA